RNAcentral lists this ribosomal RNA (468 nucleotides) under uncultured bacterium. Its description in RNAcentral is "partial 16S ribosomal RNA". It matches the Rfam family "Bacterial small subunit ribosomal RNA", at positions 28 to 507 of the family's 1533-position model. The record is from RNAcentral.
GACGAACGCUGGCGGCGUGCUUAACACAUGCAAGUCGAACGGAAAGGCCCUGCUUUUGUGGGGUGCUCGAGAGGCGAACGGGUGAGUAACACGUGAGUAACAUGCCCUUGACUUUGGGGUAACUUCAGGAAACUGGGGCUAAUACCGGAUAGGAGCUCCUGCUGCAUGGUGGGGGUUGGAAAGUUUCGGCGGUUGUGGAUGGACUCGCGGCUUAUCAGCUUGUUGGUGGGGUAGUGGCUUACAAAGGGUUUGACGGGUAGCCGGCCUGAGAGGGUGACCGGCGACAUUGGUACUGCGGGACGGCCCAGACUCCUACGGGAGGCAGCAGUGGGGAAUAUGGCACAAUGGGCGGAAGCGUGAUGCAGCAACGCCGCGUGCGUGAUGACGGCCUUCGGGUUGUAAACCGCUUUCGCCUGUGACGAAGCGUGAGUGACGGUAAUGGGUAAAGAAGCACCGGCUAACUACGUG